UGGUGCUGGCUUCACUCUGCAGG
Molecule: non-coding RNA, 23 nt
Filed under: Cricetulus griseus (Chinese hamster)
Lineage: Eukaryota; Metazoa; Chordata; Mammalia; Rodentia; Cricetidae
Source: RNAcentral